GACGAACGCUGGCGGCGUGCCUAAUACAUGCAAGUAGGACGCAGUUGCGAACGGGGGAGUAACGCGUAGGUAACUACCUAUUAGAGGGGGAUAACUAUUGAAACGAUAGCUAAUACCGCCUACUUGUUGUUGGACUUGCGUUGUAUUGGCUUGUAGGUAGGGUAAUGGCCUACCUAGGCAACGAUACAUAGCCGACCUGGGAGGGUGGUCGGCCACACUGUGACUGUGACACGGCCCAGACUCCUACGGGAGGGAGCAGUAGGGAAUCUUCGGCAAUGGGGCGAACCCUGACCGAGCAACGCCGCGUGAGUGAAGAAGGUUUUCGGGUCGUAAAGCUCUGUUGUUAAGGAAGCGGUACUUAACCAGAAAGGGACGGCUAACUACGUGCCAGCAGCCGCGGUAAUAC
This 406-nucleotide ribosomal RNA is filed under the name uncultured bacterium. RNAcentral describes it as "partial 16S ribosomal RNA". It matches the Rfam family "Bacterial small subunit ribosomal RNA", at positions 28 to 526 of the family's 1533-position model. The record is from RNAcentral.